Molecule: ribosomal RNA, 848 nt
Filed under: Lobaria pulmonaria (tree lungwort)
Lineage: Eukaryota; Fungi; Ascomycota; Lecanoromycetes; Peltigerales; Lobariaceae
Description: SSU rRNA
Rfam family: Bacterial small subunit ribosomal RNA
Source: RNAcentral
GCCUAAGGGCGGAACAGCAACUUGGAGGAAUGAAAGGCAAUAGCUGAUUGCAUUAAAUUUAAAAUUAGAGUUUUUUUUAUUUUUAAUGUAGUUACUACUUUGUAGUUUAAAUUUCUAGGUAGAAUUAUGAUGAUGACAUUAUCUAUCUAUAGGUCUUGACCAAAUUACGUGCCAGCAGUCGCGGUAAUACGUAGAAGACAAGUGUUAUUCAUCUUUAUUAGGUUUAAAGAGUACCAAGACGGUUAAUAAAGCCCAAAAUACAUGAGCACAGGGGACACAUUAACUAGAGUUAUAUGAAAGGAAGCAUUAAGGUACUGUUGAGUGUAGAGAUAAAAUUCAGUCAUACCAGAUGAAAGGCACAGAUUUAUGCGAAGGCAUCUUCUUAUGUAAUAACUGACGUUGUAGGACGAAGGCUUUUGAAGUGAAGAGGAUUAGAUACCCUUGUAAUUUAAGCAGAAAAUGAUGAAUGUCAUAGGUUUAAUAUAUACAGCCCAAAAAAAAAAGGGUCGAUGUUUUAUUGGGUCUAUAAAUGAAAGUGUAAGCAUUCCACCUCAAGAGUAAUUUGGCAACAUUGGAACUGAAAUCAUUAGACCGUUUCUGAAACCAGUAGUGAAGUAUGUUGUUUAAUUAGAUGAUACACAAAAAACCUUACCACAAUUUGAAUAUAUAUCAUUAAUGAUAUUUACAAGCGUUGCACGGCUGUCUUCAGUUAAUGUCGUGAGAUUUUGGUUAGUUCCAUAAAAUUAACGUAAACCCUCGUUUUAUUUAUAAAUAAAAUUUACAAUCUGUUUCUAAAGAUUUGAUAUUAGAAAAGGGACUAAGACAAGUCAUCAUGGCCUAAAUAUUGU